AAACUUGUCCACUCCUUACGGGGGAGACAGUCAUGAGACGUGAGUAUAAGACCUGAGUGUAAAGACCUUAGGGUGAAGCAAUUGGAGGGCAAGCUUUGGUGCCAGCAGCCGCGGUAACUCCAACUCCAAGAGUGUCUAUGGUGGAUGCUGCAGUUAAAGGGUCCGUAGUCGUGAAUGCAAUUAAAUGUCGUUGUUCAAUAGCGAUGAGUUUGCUAAUGUUUGCGGAACGGAUAGGGAGUGUAGUAUAGACUGGCGAAGAAUGAAAUCUCAAGACCCAGUUUGGACUAACGGAGGCGAAGGCGACACUCUUAGACGUAUCUUAGGAUCAAGGACGAAGGCAGGAGUAUCGAAAGUGAUUAGACACCGCUGUAGUUCCUGCAGUAAACUAUGCCGACAGCCUGUGUGUGAGAAUACGUGGGCGGGAGAAAUCUUAGUGUUCGGGCUCUGGGGAUAGUACGCUCGCAAGGGUGAAACUUAAAGCGAAAUUGACGGAAGGACACUACCAGGAGUGGAUUGUGCUGCUUAAUUUAACUCAACGCGGGAAAACUUACCAGGGUCAAGUCAUUCGUUGAUCGAAUACGUGAGAAUGGCAGGAGUG
This 598-nucleotide ribosomal RNA is filed under the name Enterocytozoon bieneusi. RNAcentral's name for it is "SSU rRNA". It matches the Rfam family "Microsporidia small subunit ribosomal RNA", at positions 296 to 900 of the family's 1311-position model. The record is from RNAcentral. Lineage: Eukaryota; Fungi; Microsporidia; Enterocytozoonidae.